Molecule: ribosomal RNA, 252 nt
Filed under: uncultured bacterium
Lineage: Bacteria
Description: partial 16S ribosomal RNA
Rfam family: Bacterial small subunit ribosomal RNA
Source: RNAcentral
UACGUAGGUGCGAGCGUGUCGGCAAUUAUUGGGCGUAAAGAGCUCGUAGGCGGUCUGUCGCGUCGGCUGUGAAAUCCCGAGGCUCAACCUCGGGUCUGCAGUCGAUACGGGCAAACUAGAGUAUUGCAGGGGAGACUGGAAUUCCUGGUGUAGCGGUGAAAUGCGCAGAUAUCAGGAGGAACACCGGUGGCGAAGGCGGGUCUCUGGGCAAUAACUGACGCUGAGGAGCGAAAGCGUGGGGGAGCGAACAGG